AGCAGCCGCGGUAAUUCCAGCUCCAAUAGCGUAUAUUAAAGUUGUUGCAGUUAAAAAGCUCGUAGUUGAACUUCGGGGUUUACCCAUUGGUCAGGUUUAAUUAUCUGUACUGGUGAGAUAAAUCUCUACCUUCUGAGGAGCUUUCAUGCCAUUUAUUUGGUGUGGGAGGAAAUCAGGACUGUUACUUUGAAAAAAUUAGAGUGUUUAAAGCAGGCUAACGUCUGAAUACAUUAGCAUGGAAUAAUGAAAUAGGACGGACUGAUUCUAUUUCGUUGGUUUCUAGGAUCACCGUAAUGAUUAAUAGGGAUAGUUGGGGGCAUUAGUAUUCAAUUGUCAGAGGUGAAAUUCUUGGAUUUAUUGAAGACUAACUACUGCGAAAGCAUUUGCCAAGGAUGUUUUCAUUAAUCAAGAACGAAAGUUAGGGGAUCGAAGACGAUCAGAUACCGUCGUAGUCUUAACCAUAAACUAUGCCGACUAGGGAUCGGACGAAGUUAAUUUUAUAAUGACGCGUUCGGCACCUUACG
RNAcentral lists this ribosomal RNA (524 nucleotides) under uncultured Diversispora. RNAcentral's name for it is "SSU rRNA". It matches the Rfam family "Eukaryotic small subunit ribosomal RNA", at positions 569 to 1092 of the family's 1831-position model. Lineage: Eukaryota; Fungi; Glomeromycota; Glomeromycetes; Diversisporales; Diversisporaceae. The record is from RNAcentral.